UCUCCAAGAAAUAUCUCAUGUAAGUGUUCACCGUGAACUCAAGCAGACAAAAAGUGAAGACAUCUCAGGAACCUGCACCAGCAGCACUCCUCUGAGACAUCUCCAUCGAGCUCCAAAGCUCAGCAGAAUGAAUCUCAGCACGUACCUGAGACCACUGUGAGGACAAGCAGAACUGGAACUGAAAGACAUAGCAUCUCCCACGCUGGCCAGGGUGACCAGAAAUCAUCCAGGCAUGCCAGUACAGAAAUAGCUCCUUGUUAAUCAAGCACGUGCAUUUCCUGAAAGCUUCUGGGCCUAAAACAGGCUGGAAAGCAUCACUGUGUGUUGCUGCUGAACACCCUGACUGCUUCCAAGGCAGGAAGAGCCAUGUGGAAGAGGUACUGGCCAGAGCAAGAGCUGCCUGCCAAUCAGCAUCUAAUUAUGCUUAAUGGAGGCCAACAAUGCUGUCUCUAAUUACAUUUACCUGGGAGGUACCACGUGCCCCUUUUUUGUCUUGGAUGCAGAAAGGCAACAGGUGAAACAGUUGUUUUCCUUCUUUGUUGCAAGGAUCCUCUGCUGUGUAAGUGUUGUCUAAGGAACUGUCCUUUCUUUGAGCAAUUAAAGCACCUUUGCUGGUAGGAGUAUGUGGGUAGCUGUGCCGAGCUCGGCAGUGCCUCCUGUCCAACUUCCAAAGAACUUUUUCUGAGCAGUCAAAACAAGGCCAGUGCCACAACUACUCUCCCACAGAAAUGCUCUGUUCCUGAACAGCCACUUUUAGCAGGAUUUCUGCAGCCACUAAGAGGAUGCAGAGCCAGACAAGUGAUUAGCAAUUACACCAACAGCAAUUGCCUUUUUUUGAUAAAACAGCCCUGGGCCAUGAGAAUUGUGAAUUCUUAAGUUCUGGAGGAUGUCAGCCCAAACUUAUUCAGGGAAAUAAAGUGAUAGCUAUUAAGAAAGAGUACUCGAUGGUCUGCUGUUUAUAGCAAAGGAGCAGAGCAUGAGCAAGGAAAUAUUUCCCUUACUGAGUGCAAGAAGCAAAUGCCUAGAAAGUGAAACAGUCAGGGUUCAGUCCCUACUCCAGGAGCUUUAAAAUAGCUCUGAGGAGGUGGAGGAAAAAAAAAAGGGGGGG
Anas platyrhynchos (mallard) is the source of this 1108-nucleotide long non-coding RNA. RefSeq lists it as uncharacterized. The record is from RefSeq and is a predicted model, not a curated record. Lineage: Eukaryota; Metazoa; Chordata; Aves; Anseriformes; Anatidae.